RNAcentral lists this unclassified non-coding RNA (205 nucleotides) under soil metagenome. RNAcentral's name for it is "partial contains 5.8S ribosomal RNA, internal transcribed spacer 2, and large subunit ribosomal RNA". The record is from RNAcentral.
AACAAGGCGUACCUGCGGACCUGCGGAGGGAUCAUUACCGAGUUUACAACUCCCAAACCCCUGUGAACAUACCUAUACGUUGCCUCGGCGGAUCAGCCCGCGCCCCGUAAAAAGGGACGGCCCGCCCGAGGACCCCUAAACUCUGUUUUUAGUGGAACUUCUGAGUAAAACAAACAAAUAAAUCAAAACUUUUAACAAUGGAUCU